CUACGGGUUGCACCAGUGAGGAAUAUUGCACAAUGGGGGGGAACCCUGAUGCAGCAACGCCGCGUGGAGGAUGACGCAUUUCGGUGUGUAAACCCCCUUUAUAUGUCAAGAAAAUGACGGUAGCAUAUGAAUAAGCACCGGCUAACUCCGUGCCAGCAGCCGCGGUAAUACGGAGGGUGCAAGCGUUACUCGGAAUCACUGGGCGUAAAGGACGCGUAGGCGGGUUGGAAAGUCAGGUGUGAAAUCCUACAGCUUAACUGUAGAACUGCACUUGAAACUUCUAAUCUAGAGUAUGGGAGGGGGAGAUGGAAUUAGUGGUGUAGGGGUAAAAUCCGUAGAUAUCACUAGGAAUACCUAAAGCGAAGGCGAUCUCCUGGAACAUUACUGACGCUAAGGCGUGAAAGCGUGGGGAGCAAACAGGAUUAGAUACCCCCGUAGUC
This 440-nucleotide ribosomal RNA is filed under the name uncultured bacterium. RNAcentral describes it as "partial 16S ribosomal RNA". It matches the Rfam family "Bacterial small subunit ribosomal RNA", at positions 339 to 795 of the family's 1533-position model. The record is from RNAcentral.